UGCAAAUAAUUCUCAGUAAGAAGCCAUUUUAUACCUGUUUAGAGAGUAAAUAUUUUUAUACAAUCAUCAAUUUAGUUUUACAACCAGUAACCAAAUUAGUUAUUUUGGGAUCUUUAGUGUUCAAUAAAACUCCUUUAUAUUCACCUUUAGAGAGUGAAAAUUGUAUUUAAAAACAAAAAAUUUGGAUUUGGGCACAAACUGUAAAGAAAAAAAAUAAAUAAACAAGGUCAUCGUAAAUUUUUGAAAGAAGAAGUCUCCAGCAGCCGAAAAACAUUCUUAGUUCUUUCCUUAAUGUUCUCAACUUGUUAUUGUAUCCGCUAACCUUUGAAGUGAGAAGUGACGUGAUUAAAUUGCAAAUUUGAAAAAAAAACGGAAUAUUUUCAAGAAAUAAAAGGUUAAGUUUCUAUUUUGUGAUUAUAAUACUCCAGCAAUAUUAACAUUGGAAUAAUAAGAGGAUAUCGGCUC
Long non-coding RNA from Condylostylus longicornis, 465 nucleotides. RefSeq lists it as uncharacterized. The record is from RefSeq and is a predicted model, not a curated record. Lineage: Eukaryota; Metazoa; Arthropoda; Insecta; Diptera; Dolichopodidae. The transcript has 3 exons.